This 340-nucleotide unclassified non-coding RNA is filed under the name Hevea brasiliensis (rubber tree). The record is from RNAcentral. Lineage: Eukaryota; Viridiplantae; Streptophyta; Magnoliopsida; Malpighiales; Euphorbiaceae.
GUCGGGUUAAAGGUGAUGCAGGUUAUUUUUCCCUAAUACCAUUAGGGUCAGUCAGGUCAGGCAUCUAGUGGGGCAAGCAAAAUUGCCAUCCCUAGUUUAACCACACAAGUUCAGCAAGCUAAAUGUAAACCAUGCUAAAAUUAUAUUUCAAGAUCAUAUAAAACAGGAUCAAAUUUUCAGAGAACAAACAAAAAUGAAAUAAAGAAGCAAAUAGAAAGACAUCAAAUCUUCACUCUAAAAGAAUUCAUCCUCAGCAUCCAUAUGAGAUCAAAGCAAAAGAAUCUAAGCAGAAAUACUUUAACCUACAAGCAUGCACUUAAUUUGUUGAUGAAUGGACUGC